AUGCCAUAUGAAAUGAGAGAAAGUUAGCACUCCUCUUGACAAAGGUGGAAGUGGACCUUGGGCCUUAUAGCAUGCCACCUGCUAUAGCAUUGCCACCUACAUUGUGGCAUCAAACCACUGUUUUAA
Small nuclear RNA from Jaculus jaculus (lesser Egyptian jerboa), 126 nucleotides. The record is from Ensembl. NCBI's taxonomy places the organism in Eukaryota, Metazoa, Chordata, Mammalia, Rodentia, Dipodidae.